Molecule: ribosomal RNA, 446 nt
Filed under: uncultured bacterium
Lineage: Bacteria
Description: partial 16S ribosomal RNA
Rfam family: Bacterial small subunit ribosomal RNA
Source: RNAcentral
CCUACGGGAGGCAGUAGUCGAGAAUCAUUCACAAUGGGGGAAACCCUGAUGGUGCGACGCCGCGUGGGGGAAUGAAGGUCUUCGGAUUGUAAACCCCUGUCAUGUGGGAGCAAAUUAAAAAGAUAGUACCACAAGAGGAAGAGACGGCUAACUCUGUGCCAGCAGCCGCGGUAAUACAGAGGUCUCAAGCGUUGUUCGGAAUCACUGGGCGUAAAGCGUGCGGAGGCUGUUUCGUAAGUCGUGUGUGAAAGGCGCGGGCUCAACCCGCGGACGGCACAUGAUACUGCGAGACUAGAGUAAUGGAGGGGGAACCGGGAUUGUCGGUGUAGCAGUGAAAUGCGUAGGUAUCGAGAGGAACACUCGUGGCGGAGGCGGGUUCCUGGACAUUAACUGACGCUGAGGCACGAAGGCCAGGGGAGCGAAAGAGAUUAGAUACCCUUGUAGUC